This 253-nucleotide ribosomal RNA is filed under the name uncultured bacterium. RNAcentral's name for it is "partial 16S ribosomal RNA". It matches the Rfam family "Bacterial small subunit ribosomal RNA", at positions 524 to 776 of the family's 1533-position model. The record is from RNAcentral.
UACAGAGGGUGCGAGCGUUAAUCGGAAUUACUGGGCGUAAAGCGCGCGUAGGCGGCUUUGCAAGUCGAGUGUGAAAUCCCCAGGCUUAACCUGGGAACUGCAUUCGAGACUGCAUAGCUAGAGUAUGGGAGAGGGAAGUGGAAUUUCAGGUGUAGCGGUGAAAUGCGUAGAUAUCUGAAGGAACAUCAGUGGUGAAAGCGACUUCCUGGACCAAUACUGACGCUCAUGUGCGAAAGCGUGGGGAGCAAACAGG